This 67-nucleotide transfer RNA is filed under the name Meromyza saltatrix. RNAcentral's name for it is "tRNA-Pro". The record is from RNAcentral. Lineage: Eukaryota; Metazoa; Arthropoda; Insecta; Diptera; Chloropidae.
UCAAGAGGUAGUUUAUAAAAAAUAUUAAUUUUGGAGAUUAAUGAAAAAGAAUUUCUUUUCUCUUGAA